GCGCAGCCACUUGUCCACCUGAGUGGCACCCCAAGACCCCCCCAUGGCUUGCAGACAGCCAAGAAUUUCUGGGAGGAUCUUCCAGAAAGUCUUCUUCAGCAACCUGGUUCAUGCCAUUCGUGGGGUUGAGUAUCCUGGUCUCAGGAACCCAAAAUGCACUGAAGGAGCAAAACUGCAACCCACCCUAUGCAAUUCCUGUAAACACAAUGUGCCGAGAUUUCCAACAAGCACCAUCUCUGGUAACCACAAUCCUUCUCAUUCCACUGAAAGUGGUCAGAAUGAGUUUGGAGAACUGGGCAGCCCCUGAUCUUCCUGUGGAAGGAAAAAGCAGCUCAGCUGAGCUACAAAGUCAGCCUCCUUGGGCUUGCAAUAAUUUGAUGUGCAUCCAUCUUAAUUGAAGAUGAUCCAUUUCAGUCUUGGCAGCACAUUGAUAAUGAACAAGAACCAAACACCAUUUGGCAAAUUCCAAUCUACCAGCAAACCCAGGGAGGAAGCAGAAAACCUGGGAUCAUCUCCUGGAAUCAUUUCCUGGGCUGCAGCUCAGUCUUUAUGAGCCAAGCUGCUUGUAAACAACGAGGGCCUUUGUUAAAUUGCUGGGUGUUUGUGAGCCUUGGAAGAUCGCUGUGCUCCACCUUUCAGGUAAAAGGGAUCACAGG
This is a non-coding RNA of Lonchura striata (white-rumped munia), 656 nucleotides long. NCBI's taxonomy places the organism in Eukaryota, Metazoa, Chordata, Aves, Passeriformes, Estrildidae. The record is from RefSeq and is a predicted model, not a curated record.